UGGGGAAUAUUGCGCAAUGGGGGAAACCCUGACGCAGCAACGCCGCGUGAAGGAAGAAGGUCUUCGGAUCGUAAACUUUUGUCUUAUGGAAAGAAAAAGGACGGUACCAUAGGAGGAAGCCACGGCUAACUACGUGCCAGCAGCCGCGGUAAUACGUAGGUGGCAAGCGUUGUCCGGAUUUACUGGGUGUAAAGGGCGUGUAGGCGGGUAGGUAAGUCAGAUGUGAAAUACCGGGGCUCAACCCCGGGGCUGCAUUUGAAACUGCGUAUCUUGAGUAUCGGAGAGGAAAGCGGAAUUCCUAGUGUAGCGGUGAAAUGCGUAGAUAUUAGGAGGAACACCGGUGGCGAAGGCGGCUUUCUGGACGACAACUGACGCUGAGGCGCGAAAGCGUGGGUAGCAAACAGGAUUAGAUACCCUGGUAGU
This 423-nucleotide ribosomal RNA is filed under the name uncultured Clostridium sp. RNAcentral's name for it is "bacterial SSU rRNA". It matches the Rfam family "Bacterial small subunit ribosomal RNA", at positions 355 to 794 of the family's 1533-position model. Lineage: Bacteria; Bacillati; Bacillota; Clostridia; Eubacteriales; Clostridiaceae. The record is from RNAcentral.